ACAAUUCAGUGCUUGCACUGAAGCGUUAGUAGCGGACGGGUGAGUAACACGUAAGGAACCUGCCCAUAAGACGGGGACAACAGUUGGAAACGACUGCUAAUACCGGAUAGGAUAAUAUCUCGCAUGAGAAAUUAUUUAAAGGUGCUAUUAAGCACCACUUAUGGAUGGCCUUGCGCCGCAUUAGCUAGUUGGUAGGGUAAUGGCCUACCAAGGCAACGAUGCGUAGCCGACCUGAGAGGGUGAUC
Molecule: ribosomal RNA, 245 nt
Filed under: uncultured bacterium
Lineage: Bacteria
Description: partial 16S ribosomal RNA
Rfam family: Bacterial small subunit ribosomal RNA
Source: RNAcentral